GUCGGGGACCUCUUGGAAUCAAUACGGUUGAACCAGGUCAGAGUCGGAAGGCAGCAGCCUUAAGACCUCAUUGUUUGCCAGGAGCCCUCUCCGACAUU
Molecule: signal recognition particle RNA, 98 nt
Filed under: Chlamydiales bacterium
Lineage: Bacteria; Pseudomonadati; Chlamydiota; Chlamydiia; Chlamydiales
Description: signal recognition particle sRNA small type
Rfam family: Bacterial small signal recognition particle RNA
About the family: The signal recognition particle (SRP) is a universally conserved ribonucleoprotein involved in the co-translational targeting of proteins to membranes. Archaeal SRP consists of a 7S RNA and homologues of the eukaryotic SRP19 and SRP54 proteins.
Source: RNAcentral